Molecule: non-coding RNA, 87 nt
Organism: Hyaloscypha hepaticicola
Lineage: Eukaryota; Fungi; Ascomycota; Leotiomycetes; Helotiales; Hyaloscyphaceae
Source: the annotation of a GenBank genome assembly
GCUUCCGUGGUCCAAUGGUUAGGAUUCCACCCUUCCACUCAUCAGUGAGCUUAGGUGGAGGUUCGUGUUCGAUUCACGGCGGUUGCA